CCUCGCCACUGCAUAGGAGCCGGAGGGGAGACAUGCCGCUGCUUCUGGGAGAUGCUUGAGACUAAAUGUAUAUGCCUAGUGAUUUUCUAAUGGCAGUUGGAGCACAAUGAAUUUCUACAUUCUAUUGCUGGACUGAUGCAAGAUGUCUCCUUGAGCCAAUAGCUUUAGAAUUUUGAACCUGGAGAAUUUCUAACUUGGUCACAUCCAAGAGCGGGGAUAGGUUAUGAUGGAUAUCUUUACAGAAAACAAAUACUGAGUGACAAGUAGAGGUAAAAACCCUUUGGGGGACUCUGAAAAUAUAUCCAUAUGUAACAUGAUGAACCAAAUGUUCCUUAUCCUUAUUUGUAAUAUGUCUGCAGCAACGUUUUUUCUGGAUGCAAAGAAUGUUUCUAUAAGCAGACCAUUCCACUCAACAUGAACGGUCAGUUCCAUCUUAGGCCCUAAUUUUGUUAAAUGUAUUCAUUUUAAUCGAAAUCCUAGUGCAAGAAAACCUUCCCUUACAAACAUGGAUGAGACAAGAGUGCACACUUGCCCUUUUUGAUACGCUUAAUUUUCAGUGAGCCUUUUGCUACAGCUCUUCCAGAGAUUAAAGGUUUACAAAAGAUGAUGUGCACCGCAACGUGUGUUCUGAAGAACUGAACAUGCACAUCACAGACCCAGAAUAAUUUUAAUACUUAUUUCAAGCCAUUCAACUCCUUAUACUCUGGUAUCUAGGUACAAGAGAAAUUGUAAUAAAUUUCAAGUAAUUUCUCUAAAUCCCUUAUGCAAUUCUGCCAUUUUUAAUCCAUUUCCUGUACAACUGAAACCAAAAUGGCAAUUG
Mauremys reevesii (Reeves's turtle) is the source of this 820-nucleotide long non-coding RNA. RefSeq lists it as uncharacterized. NCBI's taxonomy places the organism in Eukaryota, Metazoa, Chordata, Testudines, Geoemydidae. The transcript is spliced from 3 exons. The record is from RefSeq and is a predicted model, not a curated record.